Molecule: long non-coding RNA, 141 nt
Organism: Herpailurus yagouaroundi (jaguarundi)
Lineage: Eukaryota; Metazoa; Chordata; Mammalia; Carnivora; Felidae
Exons: 3
Source: RefSeq, a predicted model, not a curated record
GCCCCAUCAUACUGGGCAACUUCUUCCCCAAGCAGAAACACCUUCUCAUCUCUUUCCAGCUCCUCAUCCAUACCUUGGUUUAUAGCUUCACGAACUGUCACCUGUCACAGGGAUGGGAAAAACACGUCUAAACUCCAUUCA